GGGGGCGUGGCGAAAUGGUAGACGCAGCGGACUUAAAAUCCGCCGAUUGAAUAAAUCAUGGGGGUUCGAUUCCCCCCGCCCCCA
RNAcentral lists this transfer RNA (84 nucleotides) under Gloeotilopsis planctonica. RNAcentral describes it as "tRNA-Leu". It matches the Rfam family "tRNA". From Rfam's summary of the family: Transfer RNA (tRNA) molecules are approximately 80 nucleotides in length. The record is from RNAcentral. Lineage: Eukaryota; Viridiplantae; Chlorophyta; Ulvophyceae; Ulotrichales; Ulotrichaceae.